ACGGGAGGCAGCAGUGGGGAAUAUUGGGCAAUGGGCGAAAGCCUGACCCAGCGACGCCGCGUGAGGGAAGAAGGUCUUCGGAUUGUAAACCUCUUUCAGCAGGGAAGAAGCAUGACGGUACCUGCAGAAGAAGUCACGGCUAACUACGUGCCAGCAGCCGCGGUAAUACGUAGGUGGCGAGCGUUAUCCGGAAUUACUGGGUGUAAAGGGUGUGUAGGUGGGGAAGCAAGUCAGGCGUGAAAUACACGGGCUCAACCCGUGAACUGCGCUUGAAACUGUUUUUCUUGAGAGUGGGAGAGGUAAACGGAAUUCCUGGUGUAGUAGUGAAAUGCGUAGAUAUCAGGAGGAACACCGGUGGCGAAGGCGGUUUACUGGACCACAACUGACGCUGAGACACGAAAGCAUGGGUAGCAAACAGGAUUAGAUACCCUGGUA
Molecule: ribosomal RNA, 435 nt
Filed under: uncultured Oscillospiraceae bacterium
Lineage: Bacteria; Bacillati; Bacillota; Clostridia; Eubacteriales; Oscillospiraceae
Description: bacterial SSU rRNA
Rfam family: Bacterial small subunit ribosomal RNA
Source: RNAcentral